RNAcentral lists this ribosomal RNA (450 nucleotides) under uncultured bacterium. RNAcentral describes it as "partial 16S ribosomal RNA". It matches the Rfam family "Bacterial small subunit ribosomal RNA", at positions 338 to 795 of the family's 1533-position model. The record is from RNAcentral.
CCUACGGGUGGCUGCAGUGGGGAAUUUUGGACAAUGGGGGCAACCCUGAUCCAGCCAUGCCGCGUGCGGGAAGAAGGCCUUCGGGUUGUAAACCGCUUUCGGCCGGAACGAAAUCGCCGGGGAGAACAUCCCCGGUGGAUGACGGUACCGGAAGAAGAAGCACUGGCUAACUACGUGCCAGCAGCCGCGGUAAUACGUAGGGGACGAGCGUUAAUCGGAAUUUCCGGAGGCGAAGCGUGAAGAGGCGGUUGAAAUCCCCGGGCUUAACCUGGGAACUGCGUUUGUGACUGGCGGGCUGGAGUGCGGAAGAGGGAGGUGGAAUUCCACGUGUAGCAGUGAAAUGCGUAGAGAUGUGGAGGAACACCGAUGGCGAAGGCAGCCUCCUGGUCUAGCACUGACGCUCAUGCACGAAAGCGUGGGGAGCAAACAGGAUUAGAUACCCCAGUAGUC